AGAGUUUGAUCAUGGCUCAGGACGAACGCUGGCGGCGUGCCUAAUACAUGCAAGUCGAACGAACUCUGGUAUUGAUUGGUGCUUGCAUCAUGAUUUACAUUUGAGUGAGUGGCGAACUGGUGAGUAACACGUGGGAAACCUGCCCAGAAGCGGGGGAUAACACCUGGAAACAGAUGCUAGUACCGCAUAACAACUUGGACCGCAUGGUCCGAGCUUGAAAGAUGGCUUCGGCUAUCACUUUUGGAUGGUCCCGCGGCGUAUUAGCUAGAUGGUGGGGUAACGGCUCACCAUGGCAAUGAUACGUAGCCGACCUGAGAGGGUAAUCGGCCACAUUGGGACUGAGACACGGCCCAAACUCCUACGGGAGGCAGCAGUAGGGAAUCUUCCACAAUGGACGAAAGUCUGAUGGAGCAACGCCGCGUGAGUGAAGAAGGGUUUCGGCUCGUAAAACUCUGUUGUUAAAGAAGAACAUAUCUGAGAGUAACUGUUCAGGUAUUGACGGUAUUUAACCAGAAAGCCACGGCUAACUACGUGCCAGCAGCCGCGGUAAUACGUAGGUGGCAAGCGUUGUCCGGAUUUAUUGGGCGUAAAGCGAGCGCAGGCGGUUUUUUAAGUCUGAUGUGAAAGCCUUCGGCUCAACCGAAGAAGUGCAUCGGAAACUGGGAAACUUGAGUGCAGAAGAGGACAGUGGAACUCCAUGUGUAGCGGUGAAAUGCGUAGAUAUAUGGAAGAACACCAGUGGCGAAGGCGGCUGUCUGGUCUGUAACUGACGCUGAGGCUCGAAAGUAUGGGUAGCAAACAGGAUUAGAUACCCUGGUAGUCCAUACCGUAAACGAUGAAUGCUAAGUGUUGGAGGGUUUCCGCCCUUCAGUGCUGCAGCUAGCGCAUUAAGCAUUCCGCCUGGGGAGUACGGCCGCAAGGCUGAAACUCAAAGGAAUUGACGGGGGCCCGCACAAGCGGUGGAGCAUGUGGUUUAAUUCGAAGCUACGCGAAGAACCUUACCAGGUCUUGACAUACUAUGCAAAUCUAAGAGAUUAGACGUUCCCUUCGGGGACAUGGAUACAGGUGGUGCAUGGUUGUCGUCAGCUCGUGUCGUGAGAUGUUGGGUUAAGUCCCGCAACGAGCGCAACCCUUAUUAUCAGUUGCCAGCAUUAAGUUGGGCACUCUGGUGAGACUGCCGGUGACAAACCGGAGGAAGGUGGGGAUGACGUCAAAUCAUCAUGCCCCUUAUGACCUGGGCUACACACGUGCUACAAUGGAUGGUACAACGAGUUGCGAACUCGCGAGAGUAAGCUAAUCUCUUAAAGCCAUUCUCAGUUCGGAUUGUAGGCUGCAACUCGCCUACAUGAAGUCGGAAUCGCUAGUAAUCGCGGAUCAGCAUGCCGCGGUGAAUACGUUCCCGGGCCUUGUACACACCGCCCGUCACACCAUGAGAGUUUGUAACACCCAAAGUCGGUGGGGUAACCUUUUAGGAACCAGCCGCCUAAGGUGGGACAGAUGAUUAGGGUGAAGUCGUAACAAGGUAACC
This 1528-nucleotide ribosomal RNA is filed under the name uncultured Bacillus sp. Its description in RNAcentral is "partial 16S ribosomal RNA". It matches the Rfam family "Bacterial small subunit ribosomal RNA". The record is from RNAcentral. Lineage: Bacteria; Bacillati; Bacillota; Bacilli; Caryophanales; Bacillaceae.